GUGGGGAAUCUUGCGCAAUGGGCGAAAGCCUGACGCAGCCAUGCCGCGUGAAUGAUGAAGGUCUUAGGAUUGUAAAAUUCUUUCACCGGGGACGAUAAUGACGGUACCCGGAGAAGAAGCUCCGGCUAACUUCGUGACAGCAGCCGCGGUAAUACGAAGGGGGCUAGCGUUGCGCGGAAUUACUGGGCGUAAAGGGCGCGUAGGCGGACAGCUUAGUCAGAGGUGAAAGCCCAGGGCUCAACCUUGGAAUUGCCUUUGAUACUGGCUGUCUUGAGUGUGGGAGAGGUGAGUGGAACUCCGAGUGUAGAGGUGAAAUUCGUAGAUAUUCGGAAGAACACCAGUGGCGAAGGCGACUCACUGGCCCAAUACUGACGCUGAGGCGCGAAAGCGUGGGGAGCAAACAGGAUUAGAAACCCUUGUAGUCC
Molecule: ribosomal RNA, 425 nt
Filed under: uncultured bacterium
Lineage: Bacteria
Description: partial 16S ribosomal RNA
Rfam family: Bacterial small subunit ribosomal RNA
Source: RNAcentral